UACGGGAGGCAGCAGUAGGGAAUCUUCCACAAUGGACGAAAGUCUGAUGGAGCAACGCCGCGUGAGUGAAGAAGGGUUUCGGCUCGUAAAACUCUGUUGUUAAAGAAGAACAUAUCUGAGAGUAACUGUUCAGGUAUUGACGGUAUUUAACCAGAAAGCCACGGCUAACUACGUGCCAGCAGCCGCGGUAAUACGUAGGUGGCAAGCGUUGUCCGGAUUUAUUGGGCGUAAAGCGAGCGCAGGCGGUUUUUUAAGUCUGAUGUGAAAGCCUUCGGCUCAACCGAAGAAGUGCAUCGGAAACUGGGAAACUUGAGUGCAGAAGAGGACAGUGGAACUCCAUGUGUAGCGGUGAAAUGCGUAGAUAUAUGGAAGAACACCAGUGGCGAAGGCGGCUGUCUGGUCUGUAACUGACGCUGAGGCUCGAAAGUAUGGGUAGCAAACAGGAUUAGAUACCCUGGUAGUCCAUACCGUAAACGAUGAAUGCUAAGUGUUGGAGGGUUUCCGCCCUUCAGUGCUGCAGCUAACGCAUUAAGCAUUCCGCCUGGGGAGUACGGCCGCAAGGCUGAAACUCAAAGGAAUUGACGGGGGCCCGCACAAGCGGUGGAGCAUGUGGUUUAAUUCGAAGCUACGCGAAGAACCUUACCAGGUCUUGACAUACUAUGCAAAUCUAAGAGAUUAGACGUUCCCUUCGGGGACAUGGAUACAGGUGGUGCAUGGUUGUCGUCAGCUCGUGUCGUGAGAUGUUGGGUUAAGUCCCGCAACGAGCGCAACCCUUAUUAUCAGUUGCCAGCAUUAAGUUGGGCACUCUGGUGAGACUGCCGGUGACAAACCGGAGGAAGGUGGGGAUGACGUCAAAUCAUCAUGCCCCUUAUGACCUGGGCUACACACGUGCUACAAUGGAUGGUACAACGAGUUGCGAACUCGCGAGAGUAAGCUAAUCUCUUAAAGCCAUUCUCAGUUCGGAUUGUAGGCUGCAACUCGCCUACAUGAAGUCGGAAUCGCUAGUAAUCGCGGAUCAGCAUGCCGCGGUGAAUACGUUCCCGGGCCUUGUACACACCGCCCGUCACACCAUGAGAGUUUGUAACACCCAAAGUCGGUGGGGUAACCUUU
Molecule: ribosomal RNA, 1110 nt
Filed under: Lactiplantibacillus plantarum subsp. plantarum
Lineage: Bacteria; Bacillati; Bacillota; Bacilli; Lactobacillales; Lactobacillaceae
Description: bacterial SSU rRNA
Rfam family: Bacterial small subunit ribosomal RNA
Source: RNAcentral